CACAGCCUGCUCCUGUUGCACACACCGAGGAGAUAUUUUUAAAUUACCUCUGGAAUAUUUUGGUUGGCACUGUGAGUGAAAGGAGCUCCCAGGUUCACAUCCUUUCCUCUAAUACGGUGGCAGAGGAGGACUCUCUCGUUUUGGUGUGGAAGCAGACAGGAUCAGCAUGCUGGAUUUUAUGGAGCAUUUCUGGAGUUUAGGGACAACUGUCUGGGAAUUUCCAGGUCAGGUAACUUGCUCACUCUUGUGGAAAGCCUGAGGAGCUCCAAGAGGGAUUUAAAGAAGAGAUCUUCCUCUCCUGUUCAGAGCCUGGGCUGAAGCAUGGAAUCAGCACAUAUCCCAUUAGAAGAAAAAUACAGUUACAGGGACAAGAAAUAGCAUGUCCAGCAUGCAGGUGGUAAAACACUGACUGCCAUGAACUUUAUCAGGAAAAAAAAUAAAGAGAAAAAGCUGUGGUUUGGAAGCAGCUGGAUGGCAAACUGCAGGCUGGGAUGUGGCUGCCAAAACCACCACAAGGAGACUGGGGCAUAGAGGCAUUUCUGGAGCAUUCUGUUUGCUAAUUGCUCAUGGAAUUUCAGGUUGAAAAAGAAGAAGGGAAUCUCUCAGGUGGCUGCAUCUUGGAAAACAGGCCUUGCUUUCCUGUCCCAUUUUGCAGCAGUCCUGUGUGAGGGAGAAGUACAACUGUGGGACGCCUGAUGAAAAGAGCUGGUUGAACAACUGGCCUUCAGCUCUGUCACCUUCCUUCAGUGCUUGCAAAAAAAGACCAAAAAACCCCAAAAAAUCCCCACAAAACAAAAAAGACAAAAAAAUCCAAGCCAAAGAUAGUUUAUGUGCAGCUCAGGAAGCUCUCAGCAAUGAGUGUGUCUGUGAUUUAGUAACACAUCUACCCAAAAUGACACUUCUAAUACACACUGAGAAAAAGAAGGCAGAGCAGCACACAAGGCACUGCUAUUGCAGUCAAACUACCAGGUAUUUAUUUUUCAAUGUACAUAAUUAUUGGGGGAGAAUAGAAGUUAUUCUCUGACACUCUGACAGAGCUGUAGAAAGCCUUGUGCUUCCCCUACUCCCAUGGUCCUGACAAGAAACACCUCACAAAUUCUAAUAAAUAGAGAAUAGAAAUAAACACUUUAACUACACAGCACCAGGUUUCAAAUGGCUUCCUGAAUCAGAAAGUGCUGCUAGUCCAUCUUCCUUAUUUCCACACUCUGUAAUGGUGCCUCUCCACAAGUCAAAGUGAGAUGGAUACUGCAAGGAUCGCAGACACUACACUGGGAAACCAAGUAUCAGUGGGUACAUCCAGAUUUAUGGUAGGUGAUGGCAGUAAAGUGAAAGUAAAACUGUUUGCACAGUCUGUGUUGUUGGCCAUUACUGUGUAUUUGCCCUUUUUUCUUGCUUAGCUGUGGCUGGAAGAAUGGAAAAUUGUACCUUCUAUACAGUAUUAGGAGACACUUUCUGAUCGUAAGGUCAAUCAGACUGGUUUAGCUGCUUGAGGUAUUUAUGGCACAAUCACUCAGUGUCUUUAAGGAAAGGUUAGAUACAUUUAUGGGAAAGGUAUUUUGCAGAAGCUUUCCUGCUUCAUAGAGGUCUUGGACAAAAUGACCCAGGAGGCCCCUUCCAAGUCUAUCAAAUGUGGUUCCCUGAUUGAUGCUGUUUCCCCCCAAAGUCUUUUGAAAACACAAAGCACUGUUAUAAAAUUUAAUAUGAUACACUAUAUAACUUUAACACAAUGCCAUUUUCUUAUAGGAAAUGGUUAGCUGGUAGCACAGGAGCCUCGUGCAGGAGGAAGAAAAGUAGAAAAAAAGAAAUUGCAGUGCAGUUUCUCUGCCGAGGGAUAUCGACUGUAACAUUUACUCUGCGUCUGAGCACGGACCCUCAGCUGUGCAGGGGGACACCAAGCCAGGGAAGGAUAGAAGGAACCCAGGUUAUGGAAUUUAUUUCUCCAGAAAAGCCUGACAAGGCCUGAGGUGUUGAGCUCAGCAGCUGGAAUCUGCCAGGGAAUGAUGGUCAAGAUAAGGAUGGAGAAAAACUUUCCUGUAGCCUCCAGGUGUUGGUCCAGGGUCAGGAUUAGGGAACAGGCAAAGCCAGAGCUUUCUGUGUUACACAAGGCCACGGCUCUUUGGUGGAAGGACCACGGGUUUGGGCCAGCCCUGCCUCUGCUCUGCUCAGCUCAGCUCAGCUCAGCUCAGCUCAGCUCAGCCCAUUACCUGCUCUGAUGAUACAGCCCCUCUUGGGCUUUCUGCUUUUGAAAGAUUUACACUCGGUUUAAAUCUCAAUUGAAAGCUCCACUUUAGAUUUUCAGAGGCCGAGACACUUAAAAAUCUCUGAUGGAAGGACAAGUGAGGAAGGCAGAAUAUCUCUCCCUUGCAAAGGCAUUCAAAUACCUCUUGGAUGAGGAGGUUCCAGCUGCUUUGCUGGACAAACAGACACAUCACAGUUCUAAAGUGCAGGGGUGCCCUUCACACCAACAGGCAGAGAAAAGAGGCAGUGGGAAGCGUAAGAGGCACCAGAAUAAAAGAGGCAGGAUCCAACUGAAAUCUUACCUUCUUUAAUCUUUGCAAAUGGGAAAACCCAUUCGGGAUAAGGAAUUUCCAGACUGGGCUGUAUGCACCAUUAAUUGUUCCAUGAAGCAGAGCUGGUCUGCUAUUGUUGCAUCCUCCAAAAACAGCUGUUACUAUGAGCUCCUUGGGGCUCAGGAACUCCAUUUCCCAGUUUUCACUUAGUAUUUCAGUAAUCAUAUAUAAAUAAUAGUAAUGAUAAUCAUAACAAUAUGUGGCUUGCCAUUAUGUUGUACUCAGCCUUUGUGAUGCCUCUCUCACGAUAAAAUCUGUGUAUUAAACACUUUAAUUGAAACUCUUAAUAAAACAGAGAUAUUUUUACUUGUGCUGUUAUAUCCACAUAAUGAUCACAAAGCACUUUACAGAAUCAAAUGAAAGUAGCCAGUCUGAUCCUUCUGUAGAGGAUUUUGUGCAUCUCAGCAGUGCAUAACAAAGCUGCUGUACAGACAAUUGUCAAACAUACCAUGUUUUGGGGUUUGUCCUGGCUGAGCAGCAUCCAAAAGCUUGGGGUUUGUCCUUCAGAUGGGUGUGAAAGUCUCUAAAGCCACCACAAAUAACACGACAAGAUGGACUAGAUGGCCUCACUGACUAGAACAGGCUGUCAUGUGCCAUUGUUAAGGUCCCUGGGUCAGAAGGAAAAAAGAAAAAAGGUUAUAGUUUUCUGGCUUAGGAAAAAAGCCAUGGAAGUCUUGGAGCUGAGUACUGAGCAGCCUCCAUGGGGUCACUGCAAGGGGACAAGGCAGAUCCUGGCCCUGCAAAUGCUCGUGGUAAAUGGUGCCUCCCAAGGUCCGGGAGGGUCUCCAGCCUAGGGCCUUGCAGCAGGUACUUCUGGAGCUGGGAGACAGUGAAGGGCUUUGUUCCCUCCUGUAUAAUUGAUAAAUUACCAUUGUUAGCACUAAACAAUACAAGUGAGCACAGAAUGGAAACACGCUAAUGCCUUACCCAGCUCCAGCAAUUCUGCUCGUGUGCUCACACUGUUCUUAAAUGUGCUAGGUAUUUGUUUGAUGAAACAAUAAGUUUUAGAAAAGAGAAAAAUAAGAACUUUAAAGAUAAUAAAAACCUUGACUACAUACUUUACCACAGGAAGCUGUGAAUAAGCUUCAGUACUCUUUAUUUUUAACAUUCCAGAUAUGUAAUUUAAUGCAGGUCUAAUGACAGUCUCGAACAUACUGCUUUAAUCGAAAUUGUUCAAGCUCUGUUCUGUGACAAGGGCUCACAAGAUACCAGCAGGGUUGUCCAUUUUCCCCACUUCUGUAGGGAAAAGAAAAGGGAGGGGAGGGGGACACUCUUGAACUUAUGUUGCUAUUGAUGUGUAAUAUACAAUAAAAAAACAGUUAAAUUUCAAUUACCCACAGGUAAUUAUAAUUUUAUUGUUUGACUGUACUAUGGGGAUUUUUGUAAUUCCCAAGACUAAUAAUUUUCUAUAAUUUUACAGGUUGUCAAAUAAACUAUUAAAGAUUAUCUUUGAAAAGGAUUCUGCAAUUGUAAGGACAUAUCAUACUGUUCCUGUACAUUAUUAGUAAUUAGAGAUCCCUGGAUAGUGAAAUAUCCACACUAUAUGCUAACUGCUGGAUACCAUAUUUUCUCACAGCCUCCUGUAAUCUUGAACCAAAGCUUUCAAACUUCUCAGCCAUUGUAGCCUGAGUCACGUCCAAACUUUUAUUAAUAUUCACCGAGCACUCAUUAAGCAAUUCUGGUGUGUUCGAUACGUUAAACCUGUGCUUCCUGACGGGGAAAAGCAAAGGCUCCCAGCUCCAUCCCAGAGCAGUGGAAACAAACACAAAAGGGCUCAUUCUGAACUCUGUCCCCUGAAGAGGAUAUGGGGAACAAGCAGCGUUUAUACCAGCACAGAAGAUGUGUAUCUGCCCUGACAGUGCCCUUUGACAAUGGUGUGGCUUGCACAGCAAGAUGGAGUUGUGCUUCCUGAUUUCAGCCUAAAAAUAUGCAUAGAUACAGAUGUGCUGGGGAUCAGCAUCACAUGUCCACAACGAGGGGAAUGGCAUGGGCAGGGUCUCCAGCCCACAAGAAGCAAAUGAACUGGGGUAUUCCCUCAUCCUCAUCAGCAAGUCCCCCAAAUUUCCUGGGGUGUUGGUGAGGAACUCUCCAGGCCAGUAGAGACCAACAUCAGCACAGCUGAGCAGGCAGCGGCGACUUCUCGCAGGUAAUGUGGGAGAAGCCAGAGGCCACCAAAGCAGCAUGUGCUGGGUGACAGCAUCCCUUACUUGUACAGGGCCUGGUGAGAUCCUGAGGAAGAGAGGAGGAGGGAUGAGCCGAGAGGAAGAGCAGCCCCCGAAGCGUUGCGGGAGCAGCUGGCGCAGCCUGCGAGGGCAGCGAGCUGGGGUUCAGCAGCUGAGAGAUGGCUGAGCUCUCGCCUGCAGAGCCAUCAAAGGCACCAUUCUUAGCUGGCAGCAUUGUUUAUUGCAGCUGCCCCAGGAGAUCAUCAUUAUUUGUUUUAUCGGCCUCUUGCAUGGCUGUGUGGCGAGGGCUCUGUGCAGGGGGAAUCUUCCCUGCAUUGAGAGCAGUCUCAGGACAUGGGGACUUCCAGGCCUCCACCCCUAUAGCUGGGGUUUGCACAGCCCCAGCCCUUGGGGACACCAAGCAGGAGCCGUGUCUCAGGGCUCUGGACAGCUCUGCAGGGAGGGGCUUGUCCUGCUCCUGGUGCCAGGAAGCCUCAGUGGCAGCUGCAGCGCUCAGCAAGGGGCCUGGUGAGGGAUUUCACUCACACCAGGGAGCGGAGCGCGGAUUGUGUUGGUUUUACGGCGGCGUGGAGCUGCUGGAGCAGUAUAAAGAUACGGGAGCACAGGGAAGGAUUAAGGCCAAUGGGCUGCAGCUCCCUGCCUUCCUCCAGAGACAACUUGGAGCCAUCAAAGGCACUAAAUCUGAGGAGUCACUGGAUACACACACUGAGCUCUCUCUGCCAAGGCCUGCUGGCCUUGAUGUCCCGAGCUCCUCCUGCACCUAUGGGAGGGAUGGGAAGGACAGCUGAUAACCUGGACAGCUCUUCAGUCAGUGGCAUUCCCUGCUCCUGACCGGCUCUCUGCCCACUAACCCAGCUCAAUGAGACUGAACCCAUUACUCCAGAUGAUUGGCACUUAAAAUAAACAGAGGGAAAAUCCAGAGCCCUCAGAGAAGGCUCAAUAUGCUUCUGGGUAACAGACAGCACCAUAUACAAACACAGAGCCCUCCUUCUUCUUCUUAAUUCUGGUCUGUGCUUUUCAUGCUUAACACAUUCCUUGUUGCAAGGAGAACACGUUCUGACAAUUGAAUAGUGAAAGCAAUUAGAAACAGAAUUAAUUGAUAAAAUUAAAGCCCUGCUUUCCUUAUGUUUGUCAUAUGACUACAAAUAUUGUCACUCCCAUUAAUAUUAAUUAAUAUAAUUAUCAAUGUUUCUAAUCCCUACACAUUUUGUUGAAAAGUUACUCUUAGCUCAAGAAUAUAAUUGUAAAGUCGUGGAAAUGUUAAGUAGCAGCUAAGCAAGUCCAAAGAAUUAAUAGCAAACUGUAGUUUAUCCAGGGAUUAGACUUUUAGCAAUACAUAAUCACCUCUUCAUGUGUUCAUCCACAUAAAAUACCUUCCAUCCCUCACUACACUUCUGCCUACUUGUCCUUGCAGUGCUGAGUUUUCAAGAAUUAAAAAAAAGACAGUAAGUAAAUAUUCUGUGCAGUUACAUGCUGUUCUUCAAGGUAAGUCACUGCACCAAGAGUUCUGUGCCCACAGCUGAGAGCAAUGUCAAGGUCAAUUAUCUCAGGCUGAAAGCCCUAAUGCAGGAUACUUCUGUGAUCAGAGUCAUCUGUGUAACUGCAAAGCCUUUGUUUUGGAGCAAAGAAUUCCUCUCUCCCGGCUUCCCCAGGCAUUGUCUCUCAGUUGGAAUGUCCCAGAUUACUGGAAUAAUCCAAAGGAGUGCCCUGCCAUGCUGCUGCCAGCUUCUCCUGGCAGGUCCCAGCAGUGCUCUGAGGGCACAGGAAUUGGAGCUGAGCCUUCCCUGCUGCCUGCCCAGCUCCUCCAGGGACACCCAGCAAUUCCUGCCUGGCAAAGCAGGCAGCAGUGCUAGGUGCAGCAUUCAUCAGCUCUUUUGGAAAACAGCCAAAGUGCUUUAAAGGCCUUUGUUGUAGGGUAGAGGGGUUUUUCUGCUAGAAGAGAAUAAUGUAAUCAUUUUGCUAUUAAUUUUUAAUUGUAUGUUGCUCUGCAUUCUUACCAAUCUAUACUGAUUUUCCUGAAAGGAAAGGGGAUGCUGUGCAAGUGGUUUUUGGUAGGAAUGUUGUUGGGCCAGGCUGGAAAAGAAUUGACAGAAAGAAGCUGCUCUUCAAAGUUACUGCAGUCACCUGCUGCUGUCUAUUCCUACAAGGUAUCACAUUAAAUACUUAUAAAUUGUAUGAGCUUAAGAAGAUUCAUGGAGAGCUGCCACAGUUUUCCCUGCUGUCAGGUGUUUUUCUUUGCUUGUUUUUGUGGGGGUUUGUUACUCUCUCUUUUUUUUUAAUGACCACUUUUUGUAAGGAAAAGUUACUUCUGAGAAAUCUUUUGCAAGCAAAUAAAACCCACUGAUGUGGAUGAAAUCAGCAGCAAGAGUAAGAAAUACAUUAAUUCUUCUCAGAAGACAAUCUUUAUCAAAAAUGCUAAGAUGCAGCCCACUGAUACAGUUAAACUUUCUGGUAGAAACAUGAUUGUAUCACUCACUUAUGCCCACUCACAAAUCCUUCAUUUCAUCUAAGAGAAAACUGGCCAUGAGGGGACAGGAAAUCUUUAAUCUGCUUUUCUCCAUUUCUUCAAAUAUCUGGUUCUUAUCAACCCGCAUCGAACAUGAGCAACAGGAAAACCUCAUGUCCUCCAUAAAACAAAUGCAAACAAAGCACAGACAGUCUCCAGUGUGAGACGGAUUGAGCACAACAAAGUAUUG
Catharus ustulatus (Swainson's thrush) is the source of this 7449-nucleotide long non-coding RNA. RefSeq lists it as uncharacterized. The record is from RefSeq and is a predicted model, not a curated record. Lineage: Eukaryota; Metazoa; Chordata; Aves; Passeriformes; Turdidae. The transcript has 8 exons.